AGUGAACGCUGGCGGUAGGCCUAACACAUGCAAGUCGAACGGCAGCACAGUAAGAGCUUGCUCUUACGGAUUGCGAGUGGCGGACGGGUGAGGAAUACAUCGGAAUCUACUUUUUCGUGGGGGAUAACGUAGGGAAACUUACGCUAAUACCGCAUACGACCUACGGUUGAAAGCAGGGGAUCUUCGGACCUUGCGCGAUUGAAUGAGCCGAUGUCGGAUUAGCUAGUUGGCGGGGUAAAGGCCCACCAAGGCGACGAUCCGUAGCUGGUCUGAGAGGAUGAUAGCCGACAUUGGAACGGGGACACGGUCAAGACGCCUACGGGAGGCAGCAGUGGGGAAUAUUGGACAAUGGGCGCAAGCAUGAUACAGCGAUACCGAGUGGGUGAAGAAGGCCUUCGGGUUGUAAAGACGUUUUGUUGGGAAAGAAAAGCAGCAGGUUAAUACGAAGCUGUUCUGACGGUAACCAAAGAAUAAGCACCGGCUAACUUCGUG
RNAcentral lists this ribosomal RNA (492 nucleotides) under uncultured bacterium. RNAcentral describes it as "partial 16S ribosomal RNA". It matches the Rfam family "Bacterial small subunit ribosomal RNA", at positions 29 to 507 of the family's 1533-position model. The record is from RNAcentral.